GAUGAACGCUAGCGGGAGGCCUAACACAUGCAAGCCGAGCGGUAUUUGUUCUUCGGAACAGAGAGAGCGGCGCACGGGUGCGGAACACGUGUGCAACCUGCCUUUAUCUGGGGGAUAGCCUUUCGAAAGGAAGAUUAAUACCCCAUAAUAUAUUGAGUGGCAUCAUUUGAUAUUGAAAACUCCGGUGGAUAGAGAUGGGCACGCGCAAGAUUAGAUAGUUGGUGAGGUAACGGCUCACCAAGUCAAUGAUCUUUAGGGGGCCUGAGAGGGUGAUCCCCCACACUGGUACUGAGACACGGACCAGACUCCUACGGGAGGCAGCAGUGAGGAAUACUGGACAAUGGGUUAGCGCCUGAUCCAGCCAUCCCGCGUGAAGGACGACGGCCCUAUGGGUUGUAAACUUCUUUUGUAUAGGGAUAAACCUACUCUCGUGAGAGUAGCUGAAGGUACUAUACGAAUAAGCACCGGCUAACUCCGUG
RNAcentral lists this ribosomal RNA (479 nucleotides) under uncultured bacterium. RNAcentral describes it as "partial 16S ribosomal RNA". It matches the Rfam family "Bacterial small subunit ribosomal RNA", at positions 28 to 507 of the family's 1533-position model. The record is from RNAcentral.